RNAcentral lists this ribosomal RNA (464 nucleotides) under uncultured bacterium. Its description in RNAcentral is "partial 16S ribosomal RNA". It matches the Rfam family "Bacterial small subunit ribosomal RNA", at positions 339 to 795 of the family's 1533-position model. The record is from RNAcentral.
CUACGGGAGGCAGCAGCUAAGAAUCUUCCGCAAUGGACGCAAGUCUGACGGAGCGACGCCGCGUGUGCGAAGAAUGUCGAGAGAUUGUAAAGCACUUUUAUACGUGAGGAAUAAGCGGAGUAGGAAAUGACUUUGUGAUGACGUUAGCGUAUGAAUAAGCUCCGGCCAAUUACGUGCCAGCAGCCGCGGUAACACGUAAGGAGCGAGCGUUGUUCGGAAUUAUUGGGCGUAAAGGGCAUGUCGGCGGUUAAUUAAGUCUGAUGUGAAAGCACACAGCUCAACUGUGAUGUUGCGUUGGAAACUGAUUGACUUGAAUCCGAGAGGGGUGUGUGGAAUUCCUUGUGUAGGGGUGAAAUCUGUUGAUAUAAGGAAGAACACCAGAGGCGAAGGCGACACACUGGCUCUGGAUUGACGCUGAGGUGCGAAAGCGUAGGUAGCGAACAGGAUUAGAUACCCCGGUAGUC